UAAACCCUAAACCCUAAACCCUAAACCCUAAACCCUAAACCCUAAAACCUUAAACCCUAAACCCUAAACCCUAAACCCUAAACCCUAAAAACCCUAAACCCUAAACCCUAAACCCUAAACCCUAAACCCUAAAACCCUAAAACCCUAAACCCUAAACCCUAAACCCUAAACCCUAGACCCUAAACCCUAAACCCUAAACCCUAAACCCUAAACCCUAAACCCUAAACCCUAAACCCUAAACCUAAACCUAAACCUAAACCUAAACCCUAAACCCAAACCCCCUAACCCUCUAACCCCUUAAACCCUUAAACCCUAACCCCCUAACCCCUUAAACCCUAAAUCCUAAACCCUUAACACUAAACCCUAAACCCUACACCCGACACCCGACACCUGACACCCCAAACCCCAAACCCCAAACCCUAAAACCCCAAACCCCAAACCCUAAACCCUUAAACCCAAGCCGGGAUAUGCAAAGAAUAGAAUAAAUCCAAACCGGGAUAUGCGUGGAAUGGAAUAAACCUAAACCGGGAUAUGAGUGGAAUGGAAUAAACCUAAACCGGGAUAUCCGUGGAAUAGGAUAUCCCGAGCUGGAAUUACCAUGGCAGGUUGCCCGGUCCAAACUCGAAAAAAGUCUGAACCGGCCUCUAAACCAUCAAAAUCCGGCAAUAAAAUACUGAACCGGGACGGGAUUUGAAUGGGAUAUCCCCAGAAUACCUUAAAUCAAGUUGGUAUUUCCGCGACAUAGCUUAAUUCAGCUUGGGAUAUCCCCGAAAUAGCCCUCCAACAGGAUAAAGUAGAAAAUUAAUUAUCAAAGGGCAUAAUCUAUCAACUGUUUUCUUAUUCUCUCAAAAAAUAUAAUGGGUUCACAGUUAUUGUAGACUUUAUUGAAAAAAUAAUAGUUAAAAGUCACAUGUUUUCGUUUCACAUAUUAUUUGUAUCUGACAAUUUUUUUUUACACCUCUUUUUUAAAAUUUGGUCCUCUUAGUUAGANNN
This 993-nucleotide long non-coding RNA is filed under the name Gossypium raimondii (Peruvian cotton). RNAcentral's name for it is "long non-coding RNA (GRAI_LNC002455)". Lineage: Eukaryota; Viridiplantae; Streptophyta; Magnoliopsida; Malvales; Malvaceae. The record is from RNAcentral.